RNAcentral lists this long non-coding RNA (205 nucleotides) under Nicotiana benthamiana. Its description in RNAcentral is "long non-coding RNA (NBEN_LNC000185)". The record is from RNAcentral. Lineage: Eukaryota; Viridiplantae; Streptophyta; Magnoliopsida; Solanales; Solanaceae.
UGACUUGACGGAAGUUGAUUGGAUCAUCUUCCUCAAGUCCAAUGUCACUUUCUUGUUCUUUGAGAAAUACAACAUAAUCAUCCGGAAUUGCAUUUCUCCUCUCUAGUGGAUCUCCUUAAUGGCACUUCAGAUUCUUGAGGUCGUUGAGUUUGAUUUUCAUUAAUAAUAUCAGGAACUUGAUUAGGGAGAUUAUCAAGAUUGUCUU